GAUGAAGAACGUAGCGAAAUGCGAUAAGUAAUGUGAAUUGCAGAAUUCAGUGAAUCAUCGAACCUUUGAACGCACAUUGCGCCCGUCAGUAUUCUGGCGGGCAUGCCUGUUCGAGCGUCAUUACGCCCCUCAAGUCCCCUGUGGACUUGGUGUUGGGGAUCGGCGAGGCUGGUUUUCCAGCACAGCCGUCCCUUAAAUUAAUUGGCGGUCUCGCCGUGGCCCUCCUCUGCGCAGUAGUAAAACACUCGCAACAGGAGCCCGGCGCGGUCCACUGCCGUAAAACCCCCCAACUUUUUAUAGAUGACCUCGAAUCAGGUAGGACUACCCGCUGAACUUAAGCAUAUCAAUAAGCGGAGGA
RNAcentral lists this unclassified non-coding RNA (358 nucleotides) under soil metagenome. RNAcentral describes it as "partial contains 5.8S ribosomal RNA, internal transcribed spacer 2, and large subunit ribosomal RNA". The stretch from base 1 to 120 matches the Rfam family "5.8S ribosomal RNA", at positions 35 to 154 of the family's 154-position model. The record is from RNAcentral.